Molecule: ribosomal RNA, 253 nt
Filed under: uncultured bacterium
Lineage: Bacteria
Description: partial 16S ribosomal RNA
Rfam family: Bacterial small subunit ribosomal RNA
Source: RNAcentral
UACAGAGGGGGCAAGCGUUGUUCGGAAUUACUGGGCGUAAAGGGCGUGUAGGCGGUCAGGUAAGUGGGACGUGAAAUGCCUCGGCUCACCCGAGGAGCGGCGUCCCAUACUGCUUGGCUUGAGUACGGGAGAGGAUGUGGGAAUUCCUGGUGUAGCGGUGAAAUGCGUAGAUAUCAGGAGGAACACCGGUGGCGAAGGCGCACAUCUGGCCCGAUACUGACGCUGAGGCGCGAAAGCUAGGGGAGCAAACGGG